Long non-coding RNA from Homo sapiens (human), 791 nucleotides. RefSeq lists it as uncharacterized. Lineage: Eukaryota; Metazoa; Chordata; Mammalia; Primates; Hominidae. The transcript is spliced from 3 exons. The record is from RefSeq and is a predicted model, not a curated record.
GCGUUUCGCCCUGGAGAACCGAGGCGCAGCCUGGGGACCAGCAUCCCACUACAGCCCCGCCCGGGCAGCCUGGGAGGGGCCCUUUGACCUUGACCCCGCUCCUUGAAAACGCUGGAGCCGCUGAGAGCUUGCAGAGCUUGGCGUUGGCUUGGUUUGAUUUAUUUUGAUUUUCCCUAUUGAUGGCAAAGGAAAAAAAAAAAAAAAAGAAUGUAGGGGAGGUGGCACAGGGAAAUAAAGUGGGACAGAAGAGGAGAAAGAGUAUUGGCAAAAGGAAAAGGAACCGAACACCCAGUGCGUAAUAAUGAGAGCGAUAACAGCAAUGUUGGGUGCCGACCCUGGGCCAGGUCCUGAGCUGGCAGGUUGCAGGGAUUUACAGCAUGACUCCUGUGAGGUUUGAUACUCCUCUUUUCAUCUCACACGUGACGAACUGGAAGCACAGACGUUUAGUUGUUUCCUGAGGGUCACUCAGCAAGCAAACUGUGGUGCUCACGUUGCAACCCAAGGCUGGGGACUCCAAGGGUAAUACGUGUAUCUGUUUCUGCCACAAGCAGUGUCCUUGGAAGUCUUACAACUCCACAGACCACGUACUUCCUGGGCCAAAGAGCACUCCUAGUCUUUGGGGGGAUAGAAACUGAGAGAAGCAAAGAGAGACCUCCACCAUUCCAAGGUGGGACAUGUUAAAGUCCUGUUCGUGGAGAAAAGCUUUCGUGGUUGAAUGAGAGAGUUGCAAUUGUAUCUAUUUCUCUAGAGCAUUGCCAGUUGCACUUUUCAAUAAAAAAUCUUCACAUUUA